RNAcentral lists this ribosomal RNA (226 nucleotides) under uncultured bacterium. RNAcentral describes it as "partial 16S rRNA". It matches the Rfam family "Bacterial small subunit ribosomal RNA", at positions 505 to 730 of the family's 1533-position model. The record is from RNAcentral.
GUGCCAGCAGCCGCGGUAAUACGGAGGAUCCGAGCGUUAUCCGGAUUUAUUGGGUUUAAAGGGAGCGUAGGCGGAUGUUUAAGUCAGUUGUGAAAGUUUAAGGCUCAACCUUGAAAUUGCAGUUGAUACUGGACGUCUUGAGUGCAUUAAAUGUGGGGGGAAUUCGUGGUGUAGCGGUGAAAUGCUUAGAUAUAAGGAAGAACUCCAAUCACGAAGGCAGCUCACA